Molecule: ribosomal RNA, 755 nt
Filed under: uncultured bacterium
Lineage: Bacteria
Description: bacterial SSU rRNA
Rfam family: Bacterial small subunit ribosomal RNA
Source: RNAcentral
GACGAACGCUGGCGGCGUGCUUAAUACAUGCAAGUCGAGCGAGGUUACUGUUUUGGAUCCCUUCGGGGUGAAGAAGCUUUAACCUAGCGGCGGACGGGUGAGUAACGCGUGGGUAACCUACCCCAAAGUCCGGGAUAACAGCGGGAAACCGCUGCUAAUACCGGAUGUCUUUACCUUGGGGCAUCUUGAGGUAAAGAAAGGCAACGCUUUGGGAUGGGCCCGCGUCCCAUUAGCUAGUUGGUGAGGUAACGGCUCACCAAGGCGACGAUGGGUAGCCGGCCUGAGAGGGUGGACGGCCACACUGGGACUGAGACACGGCCCAGACUCCUACGGGAGGCAGCAGUAGGGAAUAUUGCGCAAUGGACGGAAGUCUGACGCAGCGACGCCGCGUGAGCGAUGAAGGUCUUCGGAUCGUAAAGCUCUGUCCUUGGGGAAGAAGGCGAAAGCUUGACGGUACCCAAGAAGAAAGCCCCGGCUAACUACGUGCCAGCAGCCGCGGUAAUACGUAGGGGGCGAGCGUUGUCCGGAAUUACUGGGCGUAAAGGGUGCGUAGGCGGCCCUUUAAGUCGGAUGUGAAAGCCCGCGGCUUAACCGCGGAAUGGCAUUCGAAACUGGAGGGCUUGAGUGUCGGAGAGGGUAGUGGAAUUCCCAGUGUAGCGGUGAAAUGCGUAGAUAUUGGGAGGAACACCAGUGGCGAAGGCGACUACCUGGACGAUAACUGACGCUGAGGCACGAAAGCUAGGGGAGCAAACAGG